RNAcentral lists this ribosomal RNA (669 nucleotides) under uncultured bacterium. RNAcentral's name for it is "bacterial SSU rRNA". It matches the Rfam family "Bacterial small subunit ribosomal RNA", at positions 1 to 677 of the family's 1533-position model. The record is from RNAcentral.
UAGAGUUUGAUCCUGCUCAGGAUGAACGCUGGCGGUGUGCCUUAGACAUGCAAGUCGAACGAAGCACCUUUUUUGGAUCCCUUCGGGGUGAAGCAUUUGGUGACUUAGUGGCGAACGGGUGAGUAACACGUGGGUGACCUGCCCCGAAGUGCGGCAUAACAGGGGGAAACUCCUGCUAAUUCCGCAUGUGCUCCCACCUCUUGUGGUGUGAGUAAAGAUUUAUCGCUUCGGGAUGGGCCCGCGGUCCAUCAGCUAGUUGGUAGGGUAAUGGCCUACCAAGGCGACGACGGAUAGCCGGCCUGAGAGGGCGAUCGGCCACAGGGGCACUGAGAUACGGGCCCCACUCCUACGGGAGGCAGCAGUUAGGAAUCUUCCACAAUGGGCGAAAGCCUGAUGGAGCGACACCGCGUGAAGGAUGAAGGCCUUAGGGUUGUAAACUUCUAAAAGAGGGACGAUGAUGACGGUACCUCUUGAGAAGCACCGGCUAACUCCGUGCCAGCAGCCGCGGUAAUACGGAGGGUGCAAGCGUUAUCCGGGAAUCACUGGGCGUAAAGGGCGCGUAGGCGGUCUGUUAAUCUGGCGUUAAAAGCCUGGGCGCUCCACCCCCAGAUCAGCCUUGGAUACUGGCAAGGCUAGAGGGCUGGGAAGGCAAGUGGGAAUUACAGUGUA